AUUGUGAACCUCUAACAGCAAAUGCGGACCAAAAUUAAUCAAAUUUGAAAGCACGGAUGAUCACGUGUAAUGCCGACUGAUGGAGAAAGAUGUUCACUAUAGAUCAAAAAUUCAAAACAGAGGACUUUUUUAUUCAAACAAAAAUACUUGUACAUGUAUGAUAUUCUGUACAUACAACAAGAAAACAGUAAUCAAAUGGAAUGUCCAGUGAUGUUGAAAGCAAAAUUAUUUUUGUUAACAGAAAACAAUAGGACUACAAUAUAUUAAGGUACACAACACAUCGUGUCAGAGAAUAAUUUUACUGGAGGAUAAAAAAUUUAAUACCUGGAAUCAACAAUUUACAAAAUGUAUACGAAAUUUAUUAAGAGAGAUAUAUUCAUGUACAGAAAGGUAACCCCACCAAAUAACUCAGGUGGUUCAAGUGAUUAUUAGCAGACAUUUUUGUUGAACUAAUGCAGGAUUAAAUAAAUGAAGCUUUAGCAGACUAUGGGCUCCAAAGUGUAGUAAAAAGAGGAUUUUUAAAUAUGACAGACUCAUAAACAUUAAAAUGUGCAUAAGUGAAAUGUUACAAUAUUUAGUAAAAAAUUCAGAUUAUUGA
Molecule: long non-coding RNA, 598 nt
Organism: Mytilus californianus (California mussel)
Lineage: Eukaryota; Metazoa; Mollusca; Bivalvia; Mytilida; Mytilidae
Exons: 3
Source: RefSeq, a predicted model, not a curated record